Molecule: ribosomal RNA, 432 nt
Filed under: uncultured bacterium
Lineage: Bacteria
Description: partial 16S ribosomal RNA
Rfam family: Bacterial small subunit ribosomal RNA
Source: RNAcentral
AACGAACGCUGGCGGCAGGCCUAACACAUGCAAGUCGAGCGAGGACUUCGGUCCUAGCGGCGGACGGGUGAGUAACGCGUGGGAACGUGCCCUUUGCUUCGGAAUAGCCCUGGGAAACUGGGAGUAAUACCGGAUGAGCCCUUUGGGGGAAAGAUUUAUCGGCGAAGGAUCGGCCCGCGUUGGAUUAGGUAGUUGGUGGGGUAAUGGCCUACCAAGCCGACGAUCCAUAGCUGGUUUGAGAGGAUGAUCAGCCACACUGGGACUGAGACACGGCCCAGACUCCUACGGGAGGCAGCAGUGGGGAAUCUUAGACAAUGGGGGAAACCCUGAUCUAGCCAUGCCGCGGGAGCGAUGAAGGCCUUAGGGUGGUAAAGCUCUUUCAGCUGGGAAGAUAAUGACGGUACCAGCAGAAGAAGCCCCGGCUAACUCCGU